Molecule: small nucleolar RNA, 134 nt
Filed under: Fukomys damarensis (Damara mole-rat)
Lineage: Eukaryota; Metazoa; Chordata; Mammalia; Rodentia; Bathyergidae
Source: RNAcentral
GUGCAAAAAUCAUAGUAAACAGAAAAAUAAUACAAAAACAAGAGAGCCAACGCAUUUCUGAUGUGCUAAGUAAACCUUUGGAGGUAAAUCACAGUAACUAAUUUAGUCAUUGCUGGCAGUCAGCUUAGACAAGU